RNAcentral lists this long non-coding RNA (412 nucleotides) under Panax ginseng (ginseng). RNAcentral's name for it is "long non-coding RNA (PGIN_LNC008202)". Lineage: Eukaryota; Viridiplantae; Streptophyta; Magnoliopsida; Apiales; Araliaceae. The record is from RNAcentral.
UCGAAUAAGAAUAGAGGAAAUAUGGGUUACAAAAUUUCAAAACCCUAGAAAUGAAUUAAUAUGUACUUGAAGGAAUAUUAAGAAUAAGGUAUUACGAUACCUUUAAAUUCGAUGUGAACGGAAUAGUCUAAAAAAAAAAUGUUAUAUAAGUAUAUAUGGAAAUUUUAUUAUUGGAGAUAAGAUUUCACAUGAAGAGAUGCUAUGAGGUUAAACGAAGAUGAGUAUAUGUAUAGAAAUAUAUUUACUUAGUAAGGUGCUAUAUAUAUUUUAGCAAGAGGAAUGAUGAAUUAAGUUAAUGAUAUAAUGAUCAAGAUAAAACUAUGUUAGUAAUUAACAUAGUUUGAGUGUUGGCCUUGACUGGCAAAUAAGAAUUUGAAUAAGUAUAAAGUCGUUAGAUAAUACGAUUANNNNN